UAAUUUUUUUUUCUUAAUAUUAGUAAAUAAUGUUAAAAUUUAAUAGUUUGUGCAACCACAUGACAAAUUGCAGCUCUUUAACUUGUAUCAGAGAUGGCCUACAUUGAUUUCACUUGCUAUAAAAGCACAAAACUGACCACAAUUCAUCCAUUCUGCAGAUCAUUACAAAUCCAUUGUUCUGUUCCAGUAAACAAGAAUAACAAGUUUACUUUUAGAUAAUAAAAGGCAGUUUUUUAGAUAAUGGAGUGGGUAUAAU
RNAcentral lists this unclassified non-coding RNA (256 nucleotides) under Hevea brasiliensis (rubber tree). The record is from RNAcentral. Lineage: Eukaryota; Viridiplantae; Streptophyta; Magnoliopsida; Malpighiales; Euphorbiaceae.